RNAcentral lists this ribosomal RNA (391 nucleotides) under uncultured bacterium. RNAcentral's name for it is "bacterial SSU rRNA". It matches the Rfam family "Bacterial small subunit ribosomal RNA", at positions 8 to 429 of the family's 1533-position model. The record is from RNAcentral.
AGAGUUUGAUCCUGGCUCAGAACGAACGCUGGCGGCAGGCUUAACACAUGCAAGUCGAACGCCCCGCAAGGGGAGUGGCAGACGGGUGAGUAACGCGUGGGAACAUACCCCUCGGUUCGGAAUAGCUCAGGGAAACUUGGAUUAAUACCGAAUACGGCCGAGAGGCGAAAGAUUUAUCGCCGAGGGAUUGGCCCGCGUCCGAUUAGCUAGUUGGUGAGGUAAUGGCUCACAAAGGCGACGAUCGGUAGCUGGUCUGAGAGGAUGAUCAGCCACAUUGGGACUGAGACACGGCCCAAACUCCUACGGGAGGCAGCAGUGGGGGAUAUUGGACAAUGGGCGCAAGCCUGAUCCAGCCAUGCCGCGUGAGUGAUGACGGCCUUAGGGUUGUAAA